This 489-nucleotide ribosomal RNA is filed under the name uncultured bacterium. RNAcentral describes it as "partial 16S ribosomal RNA". It matches the Rfam family "Bacterial small subunit ribosomal RNA", at positions 28 to 507 of the family's 1533-position model. The record is from RNAcentral.
GAUGAACGCUAGCUACAGGCUUAACACAUGCAAGUCGAGGGGCAGCAUGAACUUAGCUUGCUAAGUUUGAUGGCGACCGGCGCACGGGUGAGUAACACGUAUCCAACCUGCCGAUGACUCGGGGAUAGCCUUUCGAAAGAAAGAUUAAUACCCGAUGGCAUAGUUCUUCCGCAUGGUAGAACUAUUAAAGAAUUUCGGUCAUCGAUGGGGAUGCGUUCCAUUAGGUUGUUGGCGGGGUAACGGCCCACCAAGCCUUCGAUGGAUAGGGGUUCUGAGAGGAAGGUCCCCCACAUUGGAACUGAGACACGGUCCAAACUCCUACGGGAGGCAGCAGUGAGGAAGAUUGGUCAAUGGACGAGAGUCUGAACCAGCCAAGUAGCGUGAAGGAUGACUGCCCUAUGGGUUGUAAACUUCUUUUAUACGGGAAUAAAGUGAGGCACGUGUGCCUUUUUGUAUGUACCGGAUGAAUAAGGAUCGGCUAACUCCGUG